Molecule: long non-coding RNA, 399 nt
Filed under: Nicotiana benthamiana
Lineage: Eukaryota; Viridiplantae; Streptophyta; Magnoliopsida; Solanales; Solanaceae
Description: long non-coding RNA (NBEN_LNC013339)
Source: RNAcentral
GCUUUAUGUUGGGAUAAUACAAGGAAUGAUAAAUGGAGUAGGAAGAAAUAGUUACAACAUAAGAGCGGAGAAAAGAGUGGAAGAACUGAGAAUAAUGGCUAUGAAGGAAUUGCAGACACGCUUCAAAGGGAAGAAGGUGAGACCAAUUGCUAGUGUUGUUGAAGAGUGUUUUGUGCCUCGAUCACAAUGUGACCUUGUUUAGAUUUUAGUUGAACUAAUAAUUGUAGUGCACUAGUGCUACAUUUUACCUUUCCGUGCCUAGCUCGAUCGAUGUUUUGACCAUAAGUAUAUUUCACCUUAUAAUUGUACUAUCAAUUCUUUUAUAGAAACUUUAUAAUUAAAUGAAGUAAUUAAAGCAAAAGAAAAGGCAAAACAAACAAAUAAUUGGACGCCUUUAAA